GCAGUCGAACGAUGAUCCGGUGCUUGCACCGGGGAUUAGUGGCGAACGGGUGAGUAACACGUGAGUAACCUGCCCUUGACUCUGGGAUAAGCCUGGGAAACUGGGUCUAAUACCGGAUAUGACUCCUCAUCGCAUGGUGGGGGGUGGAAAGCUUUUGUGGUUUUGGAUGGACUCGCGGCCUAUCAGCUUGUUGGUGAGGUAAUGGCUCACCAAGGCGACGACGGGUAGCCGGCCUGAGAGGGUGACCGGCCACACUGGGACUGAGACACGGCCCAGACUCCUACGGGAGGCAGCAGUGGGGAAUAUUGCACAAUGGGCGCAAGCCUGAUGCAGCGACGCCGCGUGAGGGAUGACGGCCUUCGGGUUGUAAACCUCUUUCAGUAGGGAAGAAGCGAAAGUGACGGUACCUGCAGAAGAAGCGCCGGCUAACUACGUGCCAGCAGCCGCGGUAAUACGUAGGGCGCAAGCGUUAUCCGGAAUUAUUGGGCGUAAAGAGCUCGUAGGCGGUUUGUCGCGUCUGCCGUGAAAGUCCGGGGCUCAACUCCGGAUCUGCGGUGGGUACGGGCAGACUAGAGUGAUGUAGGGGAGACUGGAAUUCCUGGUGUAGCGGUGAAAUGCGCAGAUAUC
This 627-nucleotide ribosomal RNA is filed under the name bacterium 74-L049658-122-015-B10. Its description in RNAcentral is "bacterial SSU rRNA". It matches the Rfam family "Bacterial small subunit ribosomal RNA", at positions 57 to 698 of the family's 1533-position model. The record is from RNAcentral.